AUCCGAGUAAAUUUUCUUUUUAGCGAAGUUUUACAUUUAACAAAUAUUCUGCCAAAUCCGAGAGAAAAGAAUUUGUUAAAAAUAAACUUUCCUUUAAAAAAAAUGCAAUGAAAAUACUCGAAAUAUUACAUCUAUGACGUAAAACUCGUGACGUAACGCGUGACGCAUUGCAACGACAAUUUCGAAUUCGUUCCAUUUCGUAUUGUUGCCGACGCCAUCUUGGAAAUUUAUGCUAUCCGGAAAUUGCGAGUUCUUUUUCCCUCCAUUUUAACAUUUUUCGUACAAAUUUUAAUAAUGAAAACUCGCGUAACGUAGAAAGAAGUAUCAUUCUCAAAUUUUAUAAUCCACUUUCCAAAGAAACAUGGAAUCAUUUUAAAAACUUCUUUGCUCAAAAAAUUAACAAAGGAAAGAUUUAACUGAUUGUGAGCACUUAAAGCCAGGAGUUGUGUGACAUCAUUUAGGCUUCUGACAUACCAAUAGAGCAGCUAUGUGACAUGUAUGUAUGAAAAUUACUUUGUGGAUAAUCAAGUCAAUGGUUAUCUGCUUUGCACACCUUCCUUUAGAAAAUGUUGAUACAGAUAACCCCUCACUAUAGCAAACAAUUUGAAGUCCAAUUUGGCCACCUGUAAGACUUAGCUUAAGAACUGUCAAUAUAAAUUUCAGAAUACCAAAGGUUUUUUUACUAUGUCGAGCAUUCCCAACAUAUUAAAACACUGGGAUGGGUUGGACGAAAAUGAUUAUGAAGUUCCAUAGAUGACUGGACAAAAGGGGCUUGUCUAGAAGAUGCCUUAGAUUAAGGCUGGUGUGGUGGGUGGACUGGAUUAUUUGUUACCCAUAUUAGAAUAUUCCGGAAGUACCCAGUGAAAAUCCUUAAAAUCAGUGGAUGACUCCAGUGACAGGAUUUUUUAGAUCAUAGGCCAGGAAAGCCACCACGAAAUAAGAUGUGUACGGAUAUUAUACUAGGAAGUUACAAGAAGGAAAUUGCUGCAUAGGAAGCAAAAAGUGCUAAUUGCCAUGUUUUAUUGCAGUACCUCAGGUAAGAAAUGAUCCCACAUUAAACUAUACUGCAUUCUUUUAUCCCCUUUAUCCAAAGAAGGAUCAAGUACUGAUAUCCACUGUACAUGACAUAGAUAUGGAGAAUAUGAGAGCCUUAAUCAUUGCAAAAACAUCAAGAACAUAUUGUAUUAUGUGAACAAUAUAUGCUCUACACACUGCAAACUGCCAAGAUUGGAUGAUGCAGAGCAUUUUUAAUAAAUAGUUGAACUGGAAACUAGAUUAAAAGAUGAAACAAUAGUUCAGAAACAAUAGAAAAGAUGAAAUUCAUGAAAAUUAUUAGAAAAAAGAAACUGCAAUCUUAAAAUGAAGUAUAGUGAAAUUUAACAAUUGAUAUGGUGUAUAACUUACUCUGAAAACAAAAUUGACCAUUGGUUAACGUCAAUACUUAAAGACGAUUUCACAGAUAGCCAUGCUAAUGUAAGUCUAUCAUAAUAUAUUUAUCAAAUGGUUUUCUUUAAAAACAAGCAAUUAUUUAUUAUGACAUUGUCACAAUGUUGGGCUGCAAUUUCUAAUCAUAUUUUUAAUUUAAAAUAUAACCUCUCCACCUCAAAUUAGUAGUGACUUGCCCCUGGUACAUCACACUUUUCCUUUAACAAUACAGUUGUGUUUAACAAUACAAUGCCAGUCAUAUCUCUAACACCUUCCAUGGGAAUGUUUUAAUUGAAAUAACGCAACUUCCGGCUUGCAUCGGAAGUUCUUAUAUAGUUAAUUGGGGCCUUCUCCCACUAAGGCUUACGUAUCGUAUUCCGUUCUCGAAAUUAUGAUGAAAAUUUUAAUUGUAAUGUCACUUUAAUGCUAUUUUAAAUACGCAUUCAACAAUUUAUUAUUAUUACAACUGCCAGAUAAACACAUAAGGCACACUAAAUAUAGCAUAAUGGCACCCGUAUUCGAAUGUUUAAAGCUGUUAUAAAAUUUGAUAUUUUUUAUUACGAUCAGUAAA
Molecule: long non-coding RNA, 1996 nt
Filed under: Centruroides sculpturatus (bark scorpion)
Lineage: Eukaryota; Metazoa; Arthropoda; Arachnida; Scorpiones; Buthidae
Description: uncharacterized LOC111636114, transcript variant X2
Source: RNAcentral